UACGGAGGAUGCAAGCGUUAUCCGGAAUGAUUGGGCGUAAAGCGUCCGCAGGUGGCUGUGUAAGUCUGCUGUUAAAGAGUGAGGCUCAACCUCAUAAAGGCAGUGGAAACUACAUGGCUAGAGUGCGUUCGGGGCAGAGGGAAUUCCUGGUGUAGCGGUGAAAUGCGUAGAGAUCAGGAAGAACACCGGUGGCGAAAGCGCUCUGCUAGGCCGCAACUGACACUCAUGGACGAAAGCUAGGGGAGCGAAUGGG
RNAcentral lists this ribosomal RNA (253 nucleotides) under uncultured bacterium. Its description in RNAcentral is "partial 16S ribosomal RNA". It matches the Rfam family "Bacterial small subunit ribosomal RNA", at positions 524 to 776 of the family's 1533-position model. The record is from RNAcentral.